GAUCUUGCCCAAUGGACGAAAGUCUGAUGCAGCAACGCCGCGUGGGGGAUGAAGCUUCUCUGGAGUGUAAACCCCUUUCUGACCCGGAAGAAUGCCCGCAAGGGUUUUGACGGUACGGGUAUAAGAAGCCCCGGCUAACUACGUGCCAGCAGCCGCGGUAAUACGUAGGGGGCCAGCGUUGCUCGGAAUUACUGGGCGUAAAGGGUCUGUAGGCGGUGCCGGAAGUCGAUAGUGAAAUCCCUAGGCUUAACCUAGGGGCUGCUAGCGAAACUGCCGUGCUAGAGUGUGAGAGAGGCGAGUGGAAUUACGGGUGUAGCGGUGAAAUGCGUAGAUAUCCGUAGGAACAUCCGGAGGCGAAAGCGGUUCGCUGGAUCACAACUUGACGCUGGAGAAGACGAAAGCUAGGGGA
This 409-nucleotide ribosomal RNA is filed under the name uncultured bacterium. RNAcentral's name for it is "bacterial SSU rRNA". It matches the Rfam family "Bacterial small subunit ribosomal RNA", at positions 359 to 767 of the family's 1533-position model. The record is from RNAcentral.